GGAGAUGCACACACAUGAUAAACAGUGAAUAGGGAGAUAACUCUUACAGAGAAAAUUGUUCGUCUUAGCAGGGUGAAAUUUAAAAGCGCAUAAACUAUACGAUACAAUAUGAGAAAUAUCUAAGCGACAUAUUGCGAAACAAACAUUUAUCGCAAGAACAAAAUUUGGCGGAAAAAAAAAAAAAUAAUAAUAAUAAUAAUAAUAAUAAUAAUAAUAAUAAUCAGAACAAAUACAAUAAGUCUUUCCACAGAAAAGUGGAAAGACUUAAUAAUAAUGAUACAUAAAUU
This 287-nucleotide long non-coding RNA is filed under the name Mytilus galloprovincialis (Mediterranean mussel). Lineage: Eukaryota; Metazoa; Mollusca; Bivalvia; Mytilida; Mytilidae. The record is from RNAcentral.